GCCGAAGUGGUGAAUUGGCAGACGCGCCGGACUCAAAAUCCGGUACUGGCGACAGUGUGUGGGUUCAAGUCCCACCUUCGGCACCA
Molecule: transfer RNA, 86 nt
Filed under: Bacillota bacterium
Lineage: Bacteria; Bacillati; Bacillota
Description: tRNA-Leu
Rfam family: tRNA
About the family: Transfer RNA (tRNA) molecules are approximately 80 nucleotides in length. Their secondary structure includes four short double-helical elements and three loops (D, anti-codon, and T loops). Further hydrogen bonds mediate the characteristic L-shaped molecular structure. tRNAs have two regions of fundamental functional importance: the anti-codon, which is responsible for specific mRNA codon recognition, and the 3' end, to which the tRNAs corresponding amino acid is attached (by aminoacyl-tRNA synthetases). tRNAs cope with the degeneracy of the genetic code in two manners: having more than one tRNA (with a specific anti-codon) for a particular amino acid; and 'wobble' base-pairing, i.e. permitting non-standard base-pairing at the 3rd anti-codon position.
Source: RNAcentral